RNAcentral lists this long non-coding RNA (939 nucleotides) under Homo sapiens (human). RNAcentral's name for it is "non-protein coding lnc-ANP32B-3:1". The record is from RNAcentral. Lineage: Eukaryota; Metazoa; Chordata; Mammalia; Primates; Hominidae.
GAGAAUGUGCGCGCGCAGGGUGGCGUUGAGGGAAGCUUUGAGUUCUCCAUGGGGCUUCGAACCCUAUCCCGGGCGUGUGCCCCUCCGGGACCCCAAUCUCGUUUAUCUUACACACAGCUGCUACAGUUGCCCGCCCUCCUAGGGUAGAAUGCGACUCCGGCUUCCCGCGCUUUUUGAGAGGGAACACACCUCCAUGAAGAACUCGCAACUAUGUCUCUCUCGAAACAUUAUUAAGUAACCUAUACGUCCAGUAUGACCCUAAUUUUUAAGGGAUGUGUAUAUGUAAUUAACACAGAGCGGAAGGACUGGACGUUAAGAAAUGUUAAGAAUUCUCAGGCACCUGUGGUCCCAGCUACCCAGGAGAUUGAGGCGGGAGGAUCGCUUGAGCCCAGGAGUUUGAGGCUGCAGUGAACCGUGAUCGCGCCACUGCACUCCAGCCUGGGUGACAGAGCGAGACCUCGUAUCAAAAAAAAAAAAAAAAAAAAAAAAAAAAAAAAAAAAAAAAUUAUCCCUGGGUGGUGGGAAAUUUUUCCAUAAUAUAAGUUAUGCUUUGUCAGAAACAACCCCAAAUAAGUCUUAUUUCAAGUGUGGUGGAUGUUAUAAAGGAGCCCUACUAUGUGCUAGGGGUUAAGGAGUGGGAACUGUUUCUUGUGCUCCACACCUUACCGGAACUGAAGUGAGAAUGGAAUUAUAAGAGUCAACAUGCCAUGUGCAUUGUGGGGAUUAUUGUCGUUUCUGGACAGCUCUGAGAAGCUAAGAGCUAACAAGAAUCAUUUAAUCCCAUGCAAUGACCAGUUGUCCUUGCAAUGAUAGCCUAUCUUUUACCCACUUGUAAUGCUGUCUCUCACCUUUAGUAAGUUUCUCUGUAUAUAAUUCUCUUUCUGGGAGAAAUUUUAAAAUCUUUUAUCUUUUUAUCUGUUAACAUCUGCAGUAUAAAAU